Cucumis sativus (cucumber) is the source of this 1667-nucleotide long non-coding RNA. RefSeq lists it as uncharacterized. The record is from RefSeq and is a predicted model, not a curated record. The transcript is spliced from 3 exons. NCBI's taxonomy places the organism in Eukaryota, Viridiplantae, Streptophyta, Magnoliopsida, Cucurbitales, Cucurbitaceae.
UAAGUGAAGGGAUUGUCAUUUCUACUUCUUCCUCUUCUUAUUAUUAGUAUUAUUUGAAGGGAAGAAAAAAGAAGAAAAAAAGGAUUCUUCUUCUUCAUCUCACGUUAUUCCCUCCCACCCCCUCUAAAACAUUCUCAACACCAACCCCUCUUCCCACGUCGCCAUAUCUCUCUAUCUCUCCACCACCACAUGCUGAUGACCAUUGUGAGUGAACGUCGAUCGACCAAUUGCACCGACACCAGCCCAAUCAGUCGUUGUCAGUUGCAUUGGAUGAAGCAAUCAUGGGUUGCUUGAGUGGUUGAUUUUCCAAGCUGAGAGGAGUUAGCUGAAGGUCGUUGCGCCGUCAUUGGCUUGUCAAAUUUGUUCUUGUUGGGAAAACUUGGUGCUUUUUUAUUUGAAUUCUUGAGAGAUUUUAGCAGUUGUCCAGCCAUUCGGAAGCUCGAAUUUAGGCGUUUUGAUACCACUUGGGUAAUUUUUCUACGGCUACAUAAAUGUGUUUUUGUAGCGUCACCUAAGGUUGUCAAAGGGUUUUGGGGUUGAAAGAGGUCGUGAUCAGAGAUCCGAGAACCUGAGCCUAUGUGACACUACAAGAAAUAAGAUCUUCCUCAACGCAGCUCUAUGUCGGCAAAAACCCCCAAAACACGUCGGGAAAGGUUACUCCGACGUCUCAGUUGACGCCGGGGAAAGCACAUCGAGGAUACUUGUCCUGACGCAGAUCACGUCGACGAUGGGGAUACUUUUUUCGAUGUAGAUCGUGUCAACGAUGAGGAAAUGUUCAUCAACGCACAUUGUCACUACGUCGAAAAAGGGUUUUCACGACGUCAUGUCGCGGAAUCCUUCCCCAAUGUGACAUCACGGAACCCUUCCCCGAUGUCACGUCAAGAAAAGCUUAAACUUUGUUUUCUUUUCUUUUUCUUCUUCUUUCUCUUCUUCUUGCUCUUCUUCUUCUUCUUCAUCUUCUAGCAUGUUACGUUCUGUUUCAAUUGCAUACCUCUAUUAUUCUUGUAGUUUCUUCAUGGAUUUUUGUUUCAACUUUGUGUUUCAGUAUGGAUUCAUAAACACAUUUUGUGAUGCUUUGGAUUCUAACUCAGCUAUGAUAUGGAUGUGGAUGGAAGAUUGUGAUAUGGCUUCGGGCCUAGCUUAACCCAUGGUGGGUGAUACUCUAUGUGCACAUAGGAGCAGAUAUGGUGGUUGUUACUGUGGUAGGUGCUAAGUAUGUGUGUGCUCCAUUUGGCAGUGUGUUUCCUUGUGGAUAUGGAUCACGUGUGAGCUAUUCCGGGCCAUGUAUUUAGUAUGCUAUCAUGGUUGGAUUGGAUGAAGAUUAUUACUAUGGUAGGUGCUAAGUAUGCGUGAUUUCCGUUUGGUCCCGUGUUUCCUUGUGGGUAUGGAUCACGUAUGAGCUAUUCCGGGUCAUGUAUUUAGUAUCUUACCAUAGUCGGGAUUGGAUGGAGGUUGCUAUCGUGGCAGGUACUAAAUAUGUGUAAGCUAGUUUUGGCGCAUGAUUCUUUGAUAAUGUGUGAGCUAUUCUUGACCGUAUAUUUAGGCGUCUUGUCAUGGUUGGAUUGAGUACAAGUUUAUUGAUUUGACUUGUGGUUUGUAGUAUUAUGUAAUGAUGACAUUUUAAUUACUAUUUGAUUAUCGAUACAUUUUUACACAUUGUUUAAGUA